This 200-nucleotide ribosomal RNA is filed under the name uncultured bacterium. RNAcentral's name for it is "partial 16S ribosomal RNA". It matches the Rfam family "Bacterial small subunit ribosomal RNA", at positions 335 to 529 of the family's 1533-position model. The record is from RNAcentral.
ACUCCUACGGGAGGCAGCAGUAGGGAAUUUUCCGCAAUGGACGAAAGUCUGACGGAGCAAUGCCGCGUGAGUGAUGAAGGUUUUCGAAAUCGUAAAGCUCUGUUGUAAGGGAAGAAUAGCAGUAGUAGAAAUGACUACUGUGUGACGGUACCUUACCAGAAGCACGGCUAACUACGUGCCAGCAGCCGCGGUAAUACGUA